This 408-nucleotide ribosomal RNA is filed under the name uncultured bacterium. RNAcentral describes it as "partial 16S ribosomal RNA". It matches the Rfam family "Bacterial small subunit ribosomal RNA", at positions 28 to 526 of the family's 1533-position model. The record is from RNAcentral.
GACGAACGCUGGCGGUGUGCUUAACACAUGCAAGUCGAACGGAGUGGAGAACGGGUGAGUAACACGUGGCUGACCUGCCCUGCACUUCGGGAGAAGCCUGGGAACCUGUGUCUAAUACUGGAUAGUGUGGGAUGGGCCCGCGGCCGAUCAGCUUGUUGGUGGGGUAAUGGCCUACCAAGGCGGCGACGGGUAGCCGGCCUGAGCGGGGGGACGGCCACAUUGGGCGUGAGUCACGGCCCAGAGUCCUACGGGAGGCAGCAGUGGGGAAUAUUGCACAAUGGGCGGAAGCGUGAUGCAGCGACGCCGCGUGGGGGAUGACGGCCUUCGGGUUGUAAACUCCUUUCACCAUCGACGCGGUAGAUGGAGAAGAAGCACCGGCUAACUCCGUGCCAGCAGCCGCGGUAAUAC